Small nucleolar RNA from Grammomys surdaster, 126 nucleotides. RefSeq annotates it as small nucleolar RNA SNORA17. NCBI's taxonomy places the organism in Eukaryota, Metazoa, Chordata, Mammalia, Rodentia, Muridae. The transcript has a single exon. The record is from RefSeq and is a predicted model, not a curated record.
GUUGUCUAAAAGAUGUGGCUGCUGUGUCACAUGUGUGUCAGUAGGUGGCAGAAAAGAGAGAGGCUGUGUGUGUCUACACUCAGUGUUCUGACCUGUGAAGAUCUGAAUGAUUAGUAGUAUGACAUU